Long non-coding RNA from Musa acuminata AAA Group (dessert banana), 1895 nucleotides. RefSeq lists it as uncharacterized. Lineage: Eukaryota; Viridiplantae; Streptophyta; Magnoliopsida; Zingiberales; Musaceae. The record is from RefSeq and is a predicted model, not a curated record. The transcript has 6 exons.
AAUUUUGUCAAAUAACCGACUCAAUGGGCCUAUUCCAGCUUCUUUGUGUGAUGGACAAUCAAAAGAAUUGCUUGAGUUGAGAGUGGACAACAAUCCCGAUAUAUGUCUCUGUCAUAGUACAUGUCAAAUUGGCAGCGAAGGAAGGAAGCUUGCUACAGUCACCAUUGUGCUGAUCACUGUCAUCCUGGCGCUGAUUAUACUGCUGCUCCUAUCAUUGCUUUUAUUCUUCUUCUUGAGGAGAAAAAAAUCUACAACAAAAUUAUGUAAGUGGUUUUAAGCAAGUAAUAGCUUAUAAACAUACAAUUUUGUUUUAUAAUGUCCUUUUCUUCUUCAGCAAAAAGGCAAUGUUAGAAGUGAGAUAGAACUCUUCUUAGCUGUAUAAUAUCAGGACAUGUCUUCUCUGAUAUCAUAGAGAAAAGUAACUUCUUUUAUUGCUGAAAACUUCAACUUUGUCGUGCGCAUGCUUCAGGACUUCUUUCUCCACAUAUUAUAUGCUAAUGUUUGAGCAAUAUAAAACUUUUUGCAGAAUUUUGUCAAAUAACCGACUCAAUGGGCCUAUUCCAGCUUCUUUAUGUGAUGGACAAUCAAAAGGAUUGCUUGAGUUGAGGUUUGUGCUGUAGUCUAAUAUCCCAAAUCUUCCCACAAUUCCUUCUACCUAAGACUAAUACUAAUAUCUUAUGAACUUUAUGUUCUGCUAAGAGUGGACAACAAUCCGGAUAUAUGCCUAUGUCAUAGUACAUGUCAAAUUGGCAGCAAAGGAAGGAAGCUUGCUACAUUCACCAUUGUGCUGAUCGCUGCCGUCCCAGCGCUGAUUAUACUGCUGCUCCUAUCAUUGCUUUUAUUCUUCUUGAGGAGAAGAAAAUCUACAACAAAAUUAUCACCGCCAAUUCAAGACGCGCUUGCUAUACCCGAAACCCAUAGAUAUUUACAUAUGAUGAAUCGAAGGCCAUCACCAACAAUUUUGAUCUUGUACUUGGAAAGGGGGGGGUUUGGGAAUGUUUACUUACCAUGGUCGAUUGCAUGAUGGCACUGAAGCUGCAGUAAAACUUUUGCACUCACAUCGGAUGGUCAAAGGGACAUCAUCUGAGGAGUUUCAAGCCGAGGCUCUUCUCUUAUCGAGGGUCCAUCACAGGAACUUAGUGUCUUUGAUCGGGUACUGUAGAGACAGCAAUCAACUUGGACUUGUUUAUGAAUAUGCUGCUCGUGGAAGUCUUAGAGAUCAUCUUUCACGUAAAAAAGAUGUUGAAUAGUAUUUUAUGAUCUGAGCUACUGCAUGCUUGGAGAAGAUUGAAUCCAGUUUUAAGCUGCUUUACCCGAAAAUGUUGUAUCUUUGGACAAUAAAACUGGAAAUAGUCAAACAUUGAGUUGGGAGAGAACGAAUUCGGAUAGCAGUGGAAACCGCACAAGGUCUGGAGUAUCUACACAAGGGAUGUGUGCCACCUAUAAUCCAUAGAGAUGUGAAGACUAACAAUAUCAUCUUAGCACAUGACUUUGAGGCAAAGGUAGCAGAUUUUGAGCUGUCAAAGCCUUUCCUGACCGAUGCCCAGACUCACGUAUCUACUGAUGUUGUGGCUGGCACUCCAGGAUACAUGGAUCCCGAGUAUGUUUUCUACUUCACAGAAGUUUGCCAGAUAAUAUUUGCAGUGUGAAUUGCUCAGGAUUUCCUUGAUUGCCCCUCUACUGACAAGUCGGUUUAAUUUGUUUUAUAGAGAACUUAAGAACUACUUUGGCAACUAAAUGAAAAAGAGAAUGAUGGAGAAUCACAAUGAGAAGAAACAUAAAAAAAUGUUCUUUUUCCAAAUGUGAUGCAGAUUUCUUUCUUAGCUAACUUGCCAAUAGGAGAAUCACGAACAAUUGUUGCACCUUUCUGUGAUGGUUAUUUUUGCCCCUUUUAC